CUAGUCAGAGGAAAACCUUCAACC
RNAcentral lists this non-coding RNA (24 nucleotides) under Rattus norvegicus (Norway rat). Lineage: Eukaryota; Metazoa; Chordata; Mammalia; Rodentia; Muridae. The record is from RNAcentral.